RNAcentral lists this ribosomal RNA (459 nucleotides) under uncultured bacterium. RNAcentral describes it as "partial 16S ribosomal RNA". It matches the Rfam family "Bacterial small subunit ribosomal RNA", at positions 338 to 795 of the family's 1533-position model. The record is from RNAcentral.
CCUACGGGAGACAGCAGUGAGGAAUAUUGGUCAAUGGACGGAAGUCUGAACCAGCCAAGUAGCGUGCAGGAUGAAGGCCCUAUGGGUUGUAAACUUCUUUUGCAUGGGGAUAAAAUCUUCCACUUGUGGAGGUCUGUAGGUACCGUGUGAAUAAGGAUCGGCUAAGUCCGUGCCAGCAGCCGCGGUAAUACGGAGGAUCCGAGCGUUAUCCGGAUUUAUUGGGUUUAAAGGGAGCGUAGGCGGACGUUAAAGUCAGCUGUAAAAGCGUGGGGCUCAACCGAGCCCCGCAGUUGAAACUGGGAGUCUUGAGUUCACUAGAGGUAGGCGGAAUUCGUGGUGUAGCGGUGAAAUGCUUAGAUAUCACGAAGAACUCCGAUUGCGAAGGCAGCCUACCGGAGUGCAACUGACGCUGAGGCUCGAAAGUGUGGGUAUCAAACAGGAUUAGAUACCCCAGUAGUC